GACGAACGCUGGCGGCGUGCUUAACACAUGCAAGUCGAACGGAAAGGCCUCUUUCGGGGGGUACGCGAGUGGCGAACGGGGGAGUAACACGUGAGUAACCUGCCCCCGACACUGGGAUAACUCCAGGAAACUGGGGCUAAUACAGGAUAGGAGCGCCUCCUGCAUGGUGGGGGGUGGGAAGUUUCGGCGGUUGGGGGUGGACUCGCGGCUUAUCAGAUUGUUGGUGGGGGAGUGGCUUACCAAGGCUUUGACGGGUAGCCGGCCUGUGAGGGUGACCGGCCACAUUGGGACUGAGAUUCGGCCCAGACUCCUACGGGGGGCAGCAGUGGGGAAUAUUGCACAAUGGGUGGAAGCCUGAUGCAGCAACGCCGUGUGCGGGAUGACGGCCUUCGGGUUGUAAACCGCUUUCGCUCAUGACGAAGCUUUGUGUGACGGUAGUGGGUAAAGAAGCACCGGCUAACUACGUG
This 467-nucleotide ribosomal RNA is filed under the name uncultured bacterium. Its description in RNAcentral is "partial 16S ribosomal RNA". It matches the Rfam family "Bacterial small subunit ribosomal RNA", at positions 28 to 507 of the family's 1533-position model. The record is from RNAcentral.